CUACCGAUUGAAUGGCUCAGUGAGGCGUCCGGACUGGCCCAGAGAGGUGGGCAACUACCACUCAGGGCCGGAAAGCUCUCCAAACUCGGUCAUUUAGAGGAAGUAAAAGUCGUAACAAGGUCUCCGUUGGUGAACCAGCGGAGGGAUCAUUACCGAGUUUACAACUCCCAAACCCCUGUGAACAUACCACUUGUUGCCUCGGCGGAUCAGCCCGCUCCCGGUAAAACGGGACGGCCCGCCAGAGGACCCCUAAAACUCUGUUUCUAUAUGUAACUUCUGAGUAAAACCAUAAAUAAAUCAAAACUUUCAACAACGGAUCUCUUGGUUCUGGCAUCGAUGAAGAACGCAGCAAAAUGCGAUAAGUAAUGUGAAUUGCAGAAUUCAGUGAAUCAUCGAAUCUUUGAACGCACAUUGCGCCCGCCAGUAUUCUGGCGGGCAUGCCUGUUCGAGCGUCAUUUCAACCCUCAAGCACAGCUUGGUGUUGGGACUCGCGUUAAUUCGCGUUCCUCAAAUUGAUUGGCGGUCACGUCGAGCUUCCAUAGCGUAGUAGUAAAACCCUCGUUACUGGUAAUCGUCGCGGCCACGCCGUUAAACCCCAACUUCUGAAUGUUGACCUCGGAUCAGGUAGGAAUACCCGCUGAACUUAAG
This 648-nucleotide ribosomal RNA is filed under the name Fusarium oxysporum. RNAcentral's name for it is "eukaryotic LSU rRNA". The stretch from base 302 to 455 matches the Rfam family "5.8S ribosomal RNA". The record is from RNAcentral. Lineage: Eukaryota; Fungi; Ascomycota; Sordariomycetes; Hypocreales; Nectriaceae.